UGGUCAUUUCAAAGAGGGCUUUUGGGGCUGUGAAACCAGGAGCCCUUAACGCAGUGACCACAGAUUGAUGUUCUCCACAGGACCCCAUAGUCACUCAGUAGUGCUGUAUAUUCCUGAGGAGAUAACAUU
This is a small nucleolar RNA of Ictidomys tridecemlineatus (thirteen-lined ground squirrel), 129 nucleotides long. The record is from Ensembl. NCBI's taxonomy places the organism in Eukaryota, Metazoa, Chordata, Mammalia, Rodentia, Sciuridae.